RNAcentral lists this ribosomal RNA (253 nucleotides) under uncultured bacterium. RNAcentral describes it as "partial 16S ribosomal RNA". It matches the Rfam family "Bacterial small subunit ribosomal RNA", at positions 524 to 776 of the family's 1533-position model. The record is from RNAcentral.
CACGUAGGGCGCAAGCGUUGUCCGGAAUUAUUGGGCGUAAAGAGCUCGUAGGCGGUCUGUUACGUCUGCUGUGAAAACCCGGGGCUUAACCCUGGGCUUGCAGUGGAUACGGGCAGACUAGAGGCAGGUAGGGGAGAAUGGAAUUCCCGGUAUAGCGGUGAAAUGCGCAGAUAUCGGGAGGAACACCGGUGGCGAAGGCGGUUCUCUGGGCCUGACCUGACGCUGAGGAGCGAAAGCGUGGGGAGCGAACAGG